RNAcentral lists this ribosomal RNA (698 nucleotides) under Salmonella enterica subsp. enterica serovar Agona. Its description in RNAcentral is "partial 23S ribosomal RNA". It matches the Rfam family "Bacterial large subunit ribosomal RNA", at positions 554 to 1251 of the family's 2925-position model. The record is from RNAcentral. Lineage: Bacteria; Pseudomonadati; Pseudomonadota; Gammaproteobacteria; Enterobacterales; Enterobacteriaceae.
AACCGUGUACGUACAAGCAGUGGGAGCACAGGUUUACCUGUGUGACUGCGUACCUUUUGUAUAAUGGGUCAGCGACUUAUAUUCUGUAGCAAGGUUAACCGCAUAGGGGAGCCGGAGGGAAACCGAGUCUUAAUUGGGCGUUAAGUUGCAGGGUAUAGACCCGAAACCCGGUGAUCUAGCCAUGGGCAGGUUGAAGGUUGGGUAACACUAACUGGAGGACCGAACCGACUAAUGUUGAAAAAUUAGCGGAUGACCUGUGGCUGGGGGUGAAAGGCCAAUCAAACCGGGAGAUAGCUGGUUCUCCCCGAAAGCUAUUUAGGUAGCGCCUCGUGAAUUCAUCUCCGGGGGUAGAGCACUGUUUCGGCUAGGGGGCCAUCCCGGCUUACCAACCCGAUGCAAACUGCGAAUACCGGAGAAUGUUAUCACGGGAGACACACGGCGGGUGCUAACGUCCGUCGUGAAGAGGGAAACAACCCAGACCGCCAGCUAAGGUCCCAAAGUCAUGGUUAAGUGGGAAACGAUGUGGGAAGGCCCAGACAGCCAGGAUGUUGGCUUAGAAGCAGCCAUCAUUUAAAGAAAGCGUAAUAGCUCACUGGUCGAGUCGGCCUGCGCGGAAGAUGUAACGGGGCUAAACCAUGCACCGAAGCUGCGGCAGCGACACUGUGUGUUGUUGGGUAGGGGAGCGUUCUGUAAGCCUG